Molecule: ribosomal RNA, 446 nt
Filed under: uncultured bacterium
Lineage: Bacteria
Description: partial 16S ribosomal RNA
Rfam family: Bacterial small subunit ribosomal RNA
Source: RNAcentral
CCUACGGGUGGCAGCAGUCGAGAAUCAUUCACAAUGGGGGAAACCCUGAUGGUGCGACGCCGCGUGGGGGAAUGAAGGUCUUCGGAUUGUAAACCCCUGUCAUGUGGGAGCAAAUUAAAAAGAUAGUACCACAAGAGGAAGAGACGGCUAACUCUGUGCCAGCAGCCGCGGUAAUACAGAGGUCUCAAGAGUUGUUCGGAAUCACUGGGCGUAAGGCGUGCGUAGGCUGUUUCGUAAGUCGUGUGUGAAAGGCGCGGGCUCAACCCGCGGACGGCACAUGAUACUGCGAGACUAGAGUAAUGGAGGGGGAACCGGAAUUCUCGGUGUAGCAGUGAAAUGCGUAGAUAUCGAGAGGAACACUCGUGGCGAAGGCGGGUUCCUGGACAUUAACUGACGCUGAGGCACGAAGGCCAGGGGAGCGAAAGGGAUUAGAUACCCGGGUAGUC